This 412-nucleotide long non-coding RNA is filed under the name Capsicum annuum. RNAcentral describes it as "long non-coding RNA (CANN_LNC009813)". The record is from RNAcentral. Lineage: Eukaryota; Viridiplantae; Streptophyta; Magnoliopsida; Solanales; Solanaceae.
UUCCCCUCUCUUCUUUCUUGCUUUUCUUCUCCUUCUUAAGAAAUCAUAACUAGACAACGCUUCUGCAACAUAUGUAUAUUUCAUGGCAUAUCGAAUAUAUCACACAAAGAUUUCUAUGACACUGAUUUUAUAUGUGUAGAUCAAAUUGUAUAUUUAUAUAUAUCAAUCAAAUUUGCAUGAAGAUACACAUAUAUACAUGAGAUAAAUAGAUGUACAAUGUGAUAUAGGCAAAGAUAAUUAGGAUAUACAUGACAUAUGGCGGGGGAUAUAUACAUAUGGAGUCAUCUUUAACCUCGAGUUUCAAUUUGAAAUUCAGGUAAAAUCCACCUUAGAUCAUCUUAAGACACCUCUAAAAUUGAGAUUCAUGGUGUAUUCGUUAUGAAGAAAAAUGUUUUUCUAUGAACAAUAUUUU